GCCGGUGUUAUUGCCAUUGGGCUUCGUGGAUUCCAAUCGAAUCACAACUAUUCCGCUAUUGGUCUGUAGUGCUGUCGGUGUAUUGCACAAGCGAUCGACUGUCCAAACGUCAUAUCUAAUUUUCCCGAAGUUGCCAUUUUCAAUAGGGUACAGACAUUGUCAAUUUCGCGUGCCUCGCUAUCAUUGGUUCGUGGCUCGACGGCAAAUCUGUAUCUGUCUCAUUCUGGAACAUUUUCCUAAAGCGUCAACGUAAGUAACCGUUCUCAAUGUCAAGAAUGGAGACUGGGUUUUUCGUGUAGCAAGAUGGCCCUCUGCAGGAUGUUAUGGUAACACGCUACACUACAUGAAUAAACAGCAUAGAACCAUUGUGAAAUACAUACAAUGAUAUUGUGAAAUAGCCUACCUAUAUCCAGUCAGAAGUGUGAACAACCAAACAGAUCAGAUAGCCUACAGAUAAGGCUUGUGUAGGCUCUUUGUAGCUGAAAGAAAUCUAGCACAUUACACUGUUCGCUUGGUCAUAAAAGAAUAUUAUUAGAGUCAUGCAUAAUGUUACAAUAAUUUUUCAGGUUGUGCAUAUCCAUGAUACAAUAUUUCAAUAAAUUGUUGAAUUACA
Long non-coding RNA from Alosa sapidissima (American shad), 613 nucleotides. RefSeq lists it as uncharacterized. The transcript has 2 exons. Lineage: Eukaryota; Metazoa; Chordata; Actinopteri; Clupeiformes; Clupeidae. The record is from RefSeq and is a predicted model, not a curated record.